AUCUAAGAACAUUUUCCAAUAUUCUUACUUUGUUACGACUUAUUUCAAAUUUUAUUGAAAUUGACGGGCAAUUUGUACAUUAUAUAAAAAAAAAUUCAAAUUAAUAUAACAAUUAAUUUUACUUUUAAAUCCUUUUUAUUAAAAAUAUUAAAACUUCUAACUCAAAAAUUAUUUAUUAAUGUAACUCAUAUUAUCUAAUAAAUACUUUAUUUUGAUUUGAAUUUUUUUUAAAUAUAAUAAAAUUUUAAUUAUAAUAUUUAUACAAAAUUUUUAAACAACAAUACAAAAAUAAUUUAUAAUAUUUUAUUAGUACUUCCUAUCGUGGAUCAUCAAAUUAAUAUACAAGUUCCCCUAAAAUUUUAUAUAACUGCCAUAUCUUAUAAUUUUAAUGCUUUACAUUUAAUAAUUAAU
Molecule: ribosomal RNA, 411 nt
Filed under: Osmia lignaria (orchard mason bee)
Lineage: Eukaryota; Metazoa; Arthropoda; Insecta; Hymenoptera; Megachilidae
Description: partial 12S ribosomal RNA
Source: RNAcentral